UGGGCUGGUCGAAAGACCCGGGCCCACCAAAUGGCGGGUAUCUUACCC
RNAcentral lists this non-coding RNA (48 nucleotides) under unclassified sequences. Its description in RNAcentral is "DUF3800-XI RNA". It matches the Rfam family "DUF3800-XI RNA". From Rfam's summary of the family: Actinobacteria, Firmicutes, Proteobacteria, Spirochaetes (1 example). Nearby to DUF3800 The record is from Rfam by way of RNAcentral.